GUCCUGGGCCCGGGGAAAACACAGCGCGCAGACAGUGAUAAUGUUGUCGGACCGCGUAAGGGGAGGCGCUCUGAUUUCGACUGGACUGACGAUAUUAUCCAUCUACUCAUUUCUGGUCUUCGCUGUGCCAUUCUUCGAUGCCAACCACCUGGUUCACGCUUACGUGCCCGGUCCACUCUACGUUUUCGGAAUACCGGCUCUCAUUUUCACCUUCAGUUUCGUGUAUGCUGCCUUCUUCGUCGGGUACUGUUUGAAGAAAGGCGAGACACCCUUCUAGCCUUCCGCUCCUGCUGAUCAUUCGCUCCUUCGCAUCUGAGCAUACAGGAUCCUGCACUCAUAAGCUGCUGGAAGCAUGUCGUCAGACUCUUCAACAUUCACCCGAGAAGUCUGGUUGGACUCCCUGCGAGAACCUCUGGUCAUCCACCAGGAAACGGUCAGCGACGUUGGCGGGGUCGUCUGGGACGGUGCCCUCGUUCUGGCAGCCUUCAUGGCCAAAUUCAAAGCAGAUUUCGUGAAAAACUCCACUGUUGUUGAGCUCGGAUGUGGUACGGGGAUCGUGGGUCUCGUCUGUGCCACCCUACCGGCGAAAAAAGUUGUGCUCUCAGACCUGUGUGCUAUUCAAGCGUUGGUGGAGAAGAAUAUCCGACAAAACAGAGCGCUUCUGAAAGCCGAGUGCGUAUUUAUGCCCCUCGACUGGAAUCACCCUGAAGACUUCGAACUGGCAGAGAUGCCGAAGAUCAUCAUCGCAUCAGAGUGCGUGUAUUAUGAAGAGGCCAUUGAACCACUCGUGGAGACAAUGAAGGCUCUGAGUGGACCGGAAACUCGUACUUUUGUGUCUUUCGAAUUUCGCCAACACGAGAAGAAUCUGUCAGCUUUAAAGAAGUUUCUCAAAUCGGCGAAGGAGUCUUUCGAGGUGAAGGAAAUUCCGUACGAAGAGCAACAUGAGGAGUAUCGCAGCGAAGAUAUCAAGUUGUUAUUGCUCCGCAGCAAAUCGGCGUCGUGAUUUCCUCGCAUUCUGGCCCGAAAAUUUUCUAAGGAGGAUUUUGAGAAUAAAUAGGUCUUUUUU
Molecule: long non-coding RNA, 1066 nt
Organism: Galendromus occidentalis (western predatory mite)
Lineage: Eukaryota; Metazoa; Arthropoda; Arachnida; Mesostigmata; Phytoseiidae
Product: protein-lysine methyltransferase METTL21D
Exons: 4
Source: RefSeq, a predicted model, not a curated record